AUUGAACGCUGGCGGCAUGCCUUACACAUGCAAGUCGAACGGUAACAGGUCUUCGGAUGCUGACGAGUGGCGAACGGGUGAGUAAUACAUCGGAACGUGCCCAGACGUGGGGGAUAACGAGGCGAAAGCUUUGCUAAUACCGCAUACGAUCUAAGGAUGAAAGCAGGGGACCGCAAGGCCUUGCGCGUUUGGAGCGGCCGAUGGCAGAUUAGGUAGUUGGUGGGAUAAAAGCUUACCAAGCCGACGAUCUGUAGCUGGUCUGAGAGGACGACCAGCCACACUGGGACUGAGACACGGCCCAGACUCCUACGGGAGGCAGCAGUGGGGAAUUUUGGACAAUGGGCGAAAGCCUGAUCCAGCAAUGCCGCGUGCAGGAUGAAGGCCUUCGGGUUGUAAACUGCUUUUGUACGGAACGAAAAGGCUCUAGCUAAUACCUGGGGCACAUGACGGUACCGUAAGAAUAAGCACCGGCUAACUACGUG
Molecule: ribosomal RNA, 482 nt
Filed under: uncultured bacterium
Lineage: Bacteria
Description: partial 16S ribosomal RNA
Rfam family: Bacterial small subunit ribosomal RNA
Source: RNAcentral